GGAGUCGGCCGGGCGACCGCAGUUUCGCGGCUGUUGCCAUCGUCAGCGUUGGUAGGCGGUGCGAGAUUGAGGAAAGUCCGGGCUCCAUAGGACAGGGUGCCAGGUAACGCCUGGGCGGCGCGAGUCGACGGACAGUGCCACAGAAAAUAUACCGCCAGGCAGCGAGGCCACGCCUUAUUGCUUGGUAAGGGUGAAAUGGUGCGGUAAGAGCGCACCGCGUGCGUGGCAACACGCACGGCAGGGUAAACCCCACCCGGAGCAAGACCAAAUAGGAAUCCAUGGGCGUGGUCCGCGCCGGAUUCGGGUAGGUCGCUAGAGGUGUGCGGUGACGCGCAUCCCAGAUGAAUGGUCGCCUUCGACAGAACCCGGCUUACAGGCCGGCUCCCUUU
This 389-nucleotide RNase P RNA is filed under the name Arenicellales bacterium. RNAcentral describes it as "RNase P RNA component class A". It matches the Rfam family "Bacterial RNase P class A". Rfam says of the family: Ribonuclease P (RNase P) is a ubiquitous endoribonuclease, found in archaea, bacteria and eukarya as well as chloroplasts and mitochondria. Its best characterised activity is the generation of mature 5'-ends of tRNAs by cleaving the 5'-leader elements of precursor-tRNAs. The record is from RNAcentral. Lineage: Bacteria; Pseudomonadati; Pseudomonadota; Gammaproteobacteria; Arenicellales.